CAAAAACCAUAGUUACUUUUGC
This 22-nucleotide microRNA is filed under the name Homo sapiens (human). RNAcentral's name for it is "hsa-miR-548bb-3p". Its record names the gene hsa-miR-548bb-3p. The record is from miRBase by way of RNAcentral. Lineage: Eukaryota; Metazoa; Chordata; Mammalia; Primates; Hominidae.